This 253-nucleotide ribosomal RNA is filed under the name uncultured bacterium. RNAcentral's name for it is "partial 16S ribosomal RNA". It matches the Rfam family "Bacterial small subunit ribosomal RNA", at positions 524 to 776 of the family's 1533-position model. The record is from RNAcentral.
UACGAAGGGGGCUAGCGUUGCUCGGAAUCACUGGGCGUAAAGGGUGCGUAGGCGGGUCUUUAAGUUAGGGGUGAAAUCCUGGAGCUCAACUCCAGAACUGCCUUUGAUACUGAAGAUCUUGAGUCCGGGAGAGGUGAGUGGAACUGCGAGUGUAGAGGUGAAAUUCGUAGAUAUUCGCAAGAACACCAGUGGCGAAGGCGGCUCACUGGCCCGGUACUGACACUGAGGAGCGAAAGCCAGGGGAGCAAACGGG